UGGUCCCUACGGGGGGCAGCAGUGAGGAAUAUUGGUCAAUGGUCGGGAGACUGAACCAGCCAAGCCGCGUGAGGGAUGAAGGUACAGAGUAUCGUAAACCUCUUUUGUCAGGGAACAAAGGCGGGGACGUGUCCCCGGAUGAGUGUACCUGAAGAAAAAGCAUCGGCUAACUCCGUGCCAGCAGCCGCGGUAAUACGGAGGAUGCGAGCGUUAUCCGGAUUUAUUGGGGUUAAAGGGUGCGCAGGCGGUCCGUUAAGGCAGCGGUCAAAGCCCGGGGGUCAACCCCGGGCACCCGGUGAAACUGG
RNAcentral lists this ribosomal RNA (305 nucleotides) under uncultured bacterium. RNAcentral's name for it is "bacterial SSU rRNA". It matches the Rfam family "Bacterial small subunit ribosomal RNA", at positions 333 to 636 of the family's 1533-position model. The record is from RNAcentral.